RNAcentral lists this long non-coding RNA (1041 nucleotides) under Homo sapiens (human). Its description in RNAcentral is "HSALNT0292981". Lineage: Eukaryota; Metazoa; Chordata; Mammalia; Primates; Hominidae. The record is from RNAcentral.
GAAGAGACCACCAAACAGGCUUUGUGUGAGCAAUAAAGCUAUUUAUUUCACCUGGGUGCAGGUGGGCUGAGUCCGAAAAGAGAGUCAGCGAAGGGAGAUAAGGGUGGGGCCAUCUUAUAGGAUUUGGGAAGGUAAUGGAAAAUUAGUCAAAGGGGGUUGUUCUCUGGUGGGCAGGGGCGGGGGUCACAAGGUGCUCAGUGGGGGAGCUUCUGAGCCAGGAGAAGGAAAUUCACAGGGUUAAUCACUCAGUUAAGGUGGGGCAGGAACAAAUCACAAUGGUGGAAUGUCAUCAGUUAAGGCGGGGCAGGGCCUUUUCACUUCUUUUGUGAUUCUUCAGUUACUUCAGGCCAUCUGGGCGUAUACAUGCAAGUCACAGGGGAUGCGAUGGUUUGACUUGGGCUCAGAGGCCUGACAGUACUUAGAUCAGUUCCUAUCACAAAAUGGGUUCACUGUAAAUGUUAGCUAGAAGCAUUACAAACUGAGGACAGGGUCACAACUAUAUCAGAUGGGAUUGUAAUUGAUUGUUUACCAGGUCUAUAGUGAAUUUUUUUAAACAAAUACUAGGAAAAUUCAUAGCAAUAGUGCCUACCUAGUUCUGGUUGCUCAGCAUAGUAGAUGCAAAAAUACUUAAUCUGGUUAAAUUAUAUGAUCUUACUUUGUCAGGUAGAUUGUUUGGGUAUGGAUUUGUAAUUCCACACAGUGCUAUUACCAGUAUACAAGAAUCUUUGGUUUAUUUUAGUGUAAGUUAUCUUAACUUUAAACUAGUUUUUUAAUUAGUAUUCCCUCUUGGUAUUGUUACCAGAAAGGGGUCCUGAUCCAGACCCCAAGACAGGGUUCUUGGAUCUUGCACAAGAAAGAAUUUGGGGUGAGCUCAUAGAGGAAAGUGAAAGCAAGUUUUAAGAAAGUAAAGCAAUAAAGAAUGGCUACCCUAUAGGCAGAGCAGCAGCUUGGGCUGCUGGACUAAGGAGAUACUUAUAGUUAUUUCUUGAUUAUAUGCUAAACAAGAGGUUGAUUAUUCAUGAGUUUUCCAGGAAAGGGGUG